Molecule: ribosomal RNA, 497 nt
Filed under: uncultured bacterium
Lineage: Bacteria
Description: partial 16S ribosomal RNA
Rfam family: Bacterial small subunit ribosomal RNA
Source: RNAcentral
GAUGAACGCUGGCGGCGUGCCUAAUACAUGCAAGUCGAGCGAACAGACGAGGAGCUUGCUCCUCUGACGUUAGCGGCGGAAGGGUGAGUAACACGUGGAUAACCUACCUAUAAGACUGGGAUAACUUCGGGAAACCGGAGCUAAUACCGGAUAAUAUAUUGAACCGCAUGGUUCAAUAGUGAAAGACAGUUUUGCUGUCACUGAUAGAUGGAUCCGCGCCGCAUUAGCUAGUUGGUAAGGUAACGGCUUACCAAGGCAACGAUGCGUAGCCGACCUGAGAGGGUGAUCGGCCACACUGGAACUGAGACACGGUCCAGACUCCUACGGGAGGCAGCAGUAGGGAAUCUUCCGCAAUGGGCGAAAGCCUGACGGAGCAACGCCGCGUGAGUGAUGAAGGUCUUCGGAUCGUAAAACUCUGUUAUUAGGGAAGAACAAAUGUGUAAGUAACUAUGCACGUCUUGACGGUACCUAAUCAGAAAGCCACGGCUAACUACGUG